This 228-nucleotide signal recognition particle RNA is filed under the name uncultured Anaerococcus sp. RNAcentral's name for it is "Bacterial large signal recognition particle RNA". It matches the Rfam family "Bacterial large signal recognition particle RNA", at positions 3 to 224 of the family's 256-position model. From Rfam's summary of the family: The signal recognition particle (SRP) is a universally conserved ribonucleoprotein involved in the co-translational targeting of proteins to membranes. Archaeal SRP consists of a 7S RNA and homologues of the eukaryotic SRP19 and SRP54 proteins. Lineage: Bacteria; Bacillati; Bacillota; Tissierellia; Tissierellales; Peptoniphilaceae. The record is from RNAcentral.
GCACUAGACGGGGAACUAGCGAUGCCUUGUAACCUGCGAUUCGCUACAGCAGGGUUUAAUUCCCAGUUAGAGGGAUAUAUUUUUAUUAUAAGCCUAGUAAGACUCGUGUUGAUUGAUGGGUCUUGCGCAACAGGAAACUAUGAACCAUGUCAGGACGGGAACGUAGCAGCAUUAAGUAGAUCUUUCUGUGUGCCGCAAGGUCACCUAUCAUGAGCGAAACUUCUUAGA